Molecule: non-coding RNA, 73 nt
Organism: Stegodyphus mimosarum
Lineage: Eukaryota; Metazoa; Arthropoda; Arachnida; Araneae; Eresidae
Source: Rfam
GCCUUCGUAGUGUAGUGGUCAGCACGCUCGGCACGCAUUCGAGAGGUCCGUAGUUCGAGUCCCAGCGAGGGCA